This 253-nucleotide ribosomal RNA is filed under the name uncultured bacterium. RNAcentral's name for it is "partial 16S ribosomal RNA". It matches the Rfam family "Bacterial small subunit ribosomal RNA", at positions 524 to 776 of the family's 1533-position model. The record is from RNAcentral.
UACGAAGGGGGCUAGCGUUGCUCGGAAUCACUGGGCGUAAAGCGCACGUAGGCGGACUCUUAAGUCGGUGGUGAAAUCCUGGAGCUCAACUCCAGAACUGCCUUCGAUACUGGGAGUCUCGAGUCCGAGAGAGGUGAGUGGAACUGCGAGUGUAGAGGUGAAAUUCGUAGAUAUUCGCAAGAACACCAGUGGCGAAGGCGGCUCACUGGCACGGUACUGACGCUGAGGUGCGAAAGCGUGGGGAGCAAACAGG